RNAcentral lists this ribosomal RNA (254 nucleotides) under uncultured bacterium. Its description in RNAcentral is "partial 16S ribosomal RNA". It matches the Rfam family "Bacterial small subunit ribosomal RNA", at positions 524 to 776 of the family's 1533-position model. The record is from RNAcentral.
GACGAACCGUGCGAACGUUAUUCGGAAUCAUUGGGCUUAAAGGGCGCGUAGGCGGCGAUGUAAGUUUGUGGUGAAAUCCUAUCGGCUCAACCGUGGGAUCGCUUCGAAUACUGCAUCGCUCGAGGGAGAUAGGGGCUUGCGGAACUGACGGUGGAGCGGUGAAAUGUGUUGAUAUCGUCGGGAACGCCAGUGCCGAAAGGGGCAAGCUAGACCUCUUCUGACGCUGAGGCGCGAAAGCUAGGGUAGCGAACGGG